UACGUAGGGGGCCAGCGUUGUUCGGAAUUACUGGGCGUAAAGGGUUCGUAGGCGGUGUGGCAAGUUGGGUGUGAAAUCUCUGGGCUCAACCCAGAGACGGCUUCCAAAACUGCCGUGCUUGAGUGUGGGAGAGGCUCGUGGAAUUGCAGGUGUAGCGGUGAAAUGCGUAGAUAUCUGCAGGAACACCCGUGGCGAAAGCGGCGAGCUGGACCACUACUGACGCUGAAGAACGAAAGCGAGGGGAGCAAACAGG
This 253-nucleotide ribosomal RNA is filed under the name uncultured bacterium. Its description in RNAcentral is "partial 16S ribosomal RNA". It matches the Rfam family "Bacterial small subunit ribosomal RNA", at positions 524 to 776 of the family's 1533-position model. The record is from RNAcentral.